Molecule: ribosomal RNA, 1372 nt
Filed under: uncultured bacterium
Lineage: Bacteria
Description: bacterial SSU rRNA
Rfam family: Bacterial small subunit ribosomal RNA
Source: RNAcentral
GAUGAACGCUGGCGGCGUGCCUAAUACAUGCGAGUCGAGCGAACGGACGAGAAGCUUGCUUCUCUGAUGUUAGCGGCGGACGGGUGAGUAACACGUGGAUAACCUACCUAUAAGACUGGGAUAACUUCGGGAAACCGGAGCUAAUACCGGAUAAUAUUUUGAACCGCAUGGUUCAAAAGUGAAAGACGGUCUUGCUGUCACUUAUAGAUGGAUCCGCGCUGCAUUAGCUAGUUGGUAAGGUAACGGCUUACCAAGGCAACGAUGCAUAGCCGACCUGAGAGGGUGAUCGGCCACACUGGAACUGAGACACGGUCCAGACUCCUACGGGAGGCAGCAGUAGGGAAUCUUCCGCAAUGGGCGAAAGCCUGACGGAGCAACGCCGCGUGAGUGAUGAAGGUCUUCGGAUCGUAAAACUCUGUUAUUAGGGAAGAACAUAUGUGUAAGUAACUGUGCACAUCUUGACGGUACCUAAUCAGAAAGCCACGGCUAACUACGUGCCAGCAGCCGCGGUAAUACGUAGGUGGCAAGCGUUAUCCGGAAUUAUUGGGCGUAAAGCGCGCGUAGGCGGUUUUUUAAGUCUGAUGUGAAAGCCCACGGCUCAACCGUGGAGGGUCAUUGGAAACUGGAAAACUUGAGUGCAGAAGAGGAAAGUGGAAUUCCAUGUGUAGCGGUGAAAUGCGCAGAGAUAUGGAGGAACACCAGUGGCGAAGGCGACUUUCUGGUCUGUAACUGACGCUGAUGUGCGAAAGCGUGGGGAUCAAACAGGAUUAGAUACCCUGGUAGUCCACGCCGUAAACGAUGAGUGCUAAGUGUUAGGGGGUUUCCGCCCCUUAGUGCUGCAGCUAACGCAUUAAGCACUCCGCCUGGGGAGUACGACCGCAAGGUUGAAACUCAAAGGAAUUGACGGGGACCCGCACAAGCGGUGGAGCAUGUGGUUUAAUUCGAAGCAACGCGAAGAACCUUACCAAAUCUUGACAUCCUUUGACAACUCUAGAGAUAGAGCUUUCCCCUUCGGGGGACAAAGUGACAGGUGGUGCAUGGUUGUCGUCAGCUCGUGUCGUGAGAUGUUGGGUUAAGUCCCGCAACGAGCGCAACCCUUAAGCUUAGUUGCCAUCAUUAAGUUGGGCACUCUAAGUUGACUGCCGGUGACAAACCGGAGGAAGGUGGGGAUGACGUCAAAUCAUCAUGCCCCUUAUGAUUUGGGCUACACACGUGCUACAAUGGACAAUACAAAGGGCAGCGAAACCGCGAGGUCAAGCAAAUCCCAUAAAGUUGUUCUCAGUUCGGAUUGUAGUCUGCAACUCGACUACAUGAAGCUGGAAUCGCUAGUAAUCGUAGAUCAGCAUGCUACGGUGAAUACGUUCCCGAGUCU